This 494-nucleotide ribosomal RNA is filed under the name uncultured bacterium. RNAcentral's name for it is "bacterial SSU rRNA". It matches the Rfam family "Bacterial small subunit ribosomal RNA", at positions 29 to 516 of the family's 1533-position model. The record is from RNAcentral.
AACGAACGCUGGCGGCGCGCCUAAUACAUGCAAGUCGAGCGAGAAGGUGUAGCAAUACACUUGUAAAGCGGCGAACGGGUGAGGAAUACAUGGGUAAUCUACCAUCGAGUGGGGAAUAACCAACCGAAAGGUUGGCUAAUACCGCGUACGCCUCCGGGUCUUCGGGUUCGGAGGGAAAGCUGCACUGUGAGUGUAGCGCUCUUUGAUGAGCUCAUGUCCUAUCAGCUUGUUGGUAGGGUAACGGCCUACCAAGGCUUUGACGGGUAGCUGGUCUGAGAGGACGAUCAGCCACACUGGCACUGCGACACGGGCCAGACUCCUACGGGAGGCAGCAGUAAGGAAUAUUGCGCAAUGGGCGAAAGCCUGACGCAGCGACGCCGCGUGGGGGAUGAAGGUCUUCGGAUUGUAAACCCCUUUCGGGAGGGAAGAUGGAGCGAGCAAUCGUUCGGACGGUACCUCCAGAAGCAGCCACGGCCAACUUCGUGCCAGCAGCC